CCCCUGGGAGCUCUGGAGGGUCUGGUUGGUUGAUACUGUUCUUCCUAUGGGGUUGCAAAGUUCUUUCUUAAUGAGGUGGAGUGAUGUUGAGUGAGAAAGAUGGAUACAUUCAGAUUGUGAUUGUAUCUCAGCUAUUUCCUAUCCUGUGCAUGUUACAGCUUACUACACAACGCUUCAUUACAUCUUAGGGGCUGGAGAGGACUGACGCAAUGCGGGGACUCAGCACGGCUAACUAGGAAUGGCAGAGCAAGUAGCUCUGAAGCACUAAACCAGAGAAGGGGGAGGGGGCGGGAUGUAAGGCAUCCAAGGCACACCACCAAUGUCUCUCCUCCAGACUGAGAUAACCACAGGCCUUUUACCUAAUGUACUGUCAGAAGGGGAACCAAUGCAGGCUCAGGUUUUCUGGUCUGUAUUUGGUAAAUGAAGAAACUUAGAUUGGAUAGGUCUUUACAACAUGGGUCACAAGGCCCGCCAAGGACAAGAGACAGGCCUCAGUGGCAGGCCAGGCCUCUAUGCGCCUGCACUCUGUUACACCGAUCCAGAGGAAGCUAUAGCAGGUAACAAGCUCACUCUGGAUAUACUGCACUCGUUCACUGAGAGGAACUGUCAUUUUUUGCUGACAGUGUGGCUAAAUGAGCAAUUAAACAAAGUCUGAAUUUGUAGAGUUUCUCUCCAGUCUGGAAAGUUUGUUGUUAUUUAUCUAUUUAUACAAAUAAGCCAUCGAAUUAUGCAAAACUGAAUCUGAGAGAAAAGUUCGCGAAUAUUCUGUCAAUGAUUUUUCUGUCUCUAUCCUGUCUUGAAACAAAAGAACAAACCGUAUGUAUAAACCCAGACUCCUCCCAUUCGUAGCUCUUUCCUGCCUCAGCCUUGCAGGUCCUGAGACAGCAGGAGUGCACCACAGUAAUUGGCUCCUCCGUCAGAUUCGUAGUCAAGAAGACUCCAGACCCAGGAAGAGCUCCGUCGGCCUCCCCAGGCCCUUCUGCUUCCUGGGGAACAUGCCCAGGACACAGCGGCAGGCAUCCUGAAGGGACGGUUACAACAAAGGGUUUCUACUAAAACGGUACAAGUUGAGUCUUAGAAUAGACAAACAGGGUCUUUACAGAUGACCCAGUGGUUAAGAACACUGGCCAUUCUUUUUAAUGUCCCAUGUUCUAUUGCCAGCAUACAAAUGGCAGCUUACAAACAUUUGUAUAUCUAGUCCAAAAAUACUCAACAACCUCUCCUGGCCUCAAAACAAAGGCACACACAUGGUACAGAGACAUAUCUAUAGGCACAUCUUCCAUAGAUAUAAUAAUUUUUUUAAAGGGUUGAACUGAGGGUCACACAACACUAUGAACAAGCAAAUGUCAAACGAACUUCUUUGGGGAAUAGCUGAGAUCACGUCUCACUGUCUUGUGCUACAGAUUUUAGAGGGUAUCUUUUUUUACCAUAGAUGGAAAAUAAUUUUUACAAAUCAUUACCAAGCACUCAAAUUUUACCAAGCAAAAGGAGUGACGUGGAUGGUGGUACAGGCAGUUGAAGUACGGUGCUGCACACUCAGUUAUGAGUAGAAAAAGGAGAAGAUAAGCAUCACAUCUGGCAGUGCAUUGGCUCCCUUAGGCUGGACAGCAGCAUUCCUAACCCUCAUUCCCUGGGCUCAGUGAUACCUCCACACCGAGUCAUUCACUUCCUCGUCGCACUCCUAUCCAGUAUGAAGACUAAGUGGAGAUGCACAUCCAGAGAGCUUUAUCUACUUAGUCAGAAGACCAGCAUCUUCAGUGUCUGUUCUUCGCAACAGACAUUGCCUAUAUUCUGUCACCUUACAGAAAAAGUCAUGGGAAACUGUCAGGCUUUUGGGUGACGGACACCUUGUCUUGCUUGGCCAUGUAAGCUCUCUGUAUCAGUGGCCAGUACAGGUGUGAUUCUCUUCACUAUGUCAUCAGCUUGAAUUAAGACACUUAGAAAGCUCCCUCUCGUACUCCAUUAGGCUUUUCCACACAUAGGUAACUAAAACAUUUGCGAUUUUUAUAUCUGGGUGACUUAAUAAUCUGCCAGUAACGUCUUGGCAUCUGCAGCCUUCUCGGCAUUGUGGUACACCUAUGACAUGAAAUGAUGACCUAUGGCUGAAUAUAGAGAAUAUCUGUCUGUCCAGGCUGCGGACACAGCAUAUGACACAUGACAGGAAGACAAUGGCCAGGUCCCCACAUACUGGUAGGUACUGUGGGAAAUGUGCAGUGCUGGACUUAGGGGCUGGAGUUAGGGGAUUCGACUCUGACACUGUAUUCUCCAGAGACCAGUUAUCACCGUGUAGAGACAACCGCAAUGCCGAGCACUGUAAAGAUGGCUGGGCUCACAGAUACAAACCCUCUGUAGCUUUACCUAUGUGUGAAGACUGGAACGCGCAUCUUUCAAAUCGGAUCUCCCUCCAGGCGCGCAGAAUACCUUCUGAUAAAUCUCAAACAACACACACACACACACACACACACACACACACACACACACACACACACAAACAGAGUGCAUCUCUCGAUGUACAGCACACUGAUUCCUGACUCAAGUUUGACAUCUGAGAAAAAAAAAACUGACUUCUGUGCAGCACCUCUCACACGGGCUAAUACUCAAUGCCUAACAGGUGAAUUCUGAAAAUCACACGUACAAACGAAUGUCACCUAAAUGUGUGACAUAUGAAGAGGUAUGUAAACAUUCAGGUUUGACGUGGGAGGAUGGAAGGGGGUCUUUCUUAUUACAGUCUUUACGAGCUUCCAACCCCUCUGUCACCCCUGGUUAAACACGGGUUUUUCAUGCUAGAGGAAGACAAAGGGGAAGGAAUGGGGUGCCUAAGUUGUUUUCACAGAUACGAUGAAGAAAGGAUCAGCACUAACGGCCAAAGGUCAGGCAAGACCAUUAAACGAUGACAGGACUUAACAUCGCUGUGGGCAGAACUGGAGUCAGCGGCAUCAGAUAAACGUCUGUGACUUUAAUGAGAGCAUGAAUUGACAUCUAGAGAAAAUGAUAGCAUAAUUCUUACUUAAUGGUUUGUCAGCAAUCAUAUGAAAAUAUGAGAUGUAUGGAACUGAAACAGCAUAUUUACAUCUGGUUUCCUAUAUAAAGAAAGCUAAUACGAACUCCUAGACUGCAUGGCUCUUCUCGAUCCAUCAUAAGAGACUAGAAGAAAAUCCUAGAAGGAAAUGCUAUGUGGCUACUUUAUAAGUAGCAGAAGGAUCAUUUAUUUAUGAUAACAUUUAGUAAGUGCUUACUAAGUACAGGCACUAUUAAAAGAAUUUUAAAUAUAAUGCCUAACCUUCACAAUAAGCAGGAACUUAUCCCCCUUUCCUACAGCAGAGGUCCAGAGAAGUUCACUCACUAGUCAAUUAACCACAUAGUUAGCAUUCCCCAAAGAGUGAACAGCUACUAUUUAUCCCGCACUGUACCAGGAGAAAAGAAAGGCAGGGAAAGGUAAGAAGACAUUUAUUACUCAGGAAAAAAAUUCGCACAGUGAUGUACCCAAAGAAUCUGCUACUGAAGAAUAUAAAUUAUAAGACAAAGGGGAAAAUAAAAAUCCUACAGAAGCACUCAUUAAACUGUAUUUCUGUGUUUAAAUGAAUGAAUUUCUAGAUGAAAUGGGGGCUGAACAAAGUACAGAAUUAAAAUGACUAAGCCUAUUCUACCCAGCCUUUAUCCACAGCAGUUGAGGCUGGACUCCUGUAGGAUGAGCCCAUAGUCUGAAAACCUUAGACAUAUAGUUAACUGUGUAAUAAAAGUCACAGUCACAUGAGUGGAAGCUUCCUGAGAGCAGGUCCCACGCUUAUGAGGAGAACAGUGCUAGAACUCGGCAACACCAAGACACAUGGGGAGAAUCUAUGUGUGAAUGGCCCAGUCCAGUCAUUGAAAGUGAGCAGAGGUGUGGCCGUGGGACUCUAAGCUGGCACACACUUUGUCUCCACUGAAGUUCUGGCCUCUGGACGCUAACUGCUACAGCCCCUGCCCAGAGCUGUAACUUUUCAAGGAUGUGUUCCUGGAAUGUUUGCUCGAAAUCAGGUCAGAGGUCUUCCACCAGAGAGAGACCAUGCCACUGAUCUAGCUGGGCAAGGAUUUCAAGAACACUAAGAAGCAAAACAUGAACUUUUGUACAUUCCCCACUGUCACAGGAAGCAGAGUCGACCACAGAUACUGUAUUUUCUAGAACUUUCUUAAGAACCAUUUGCAGAAGUAGUUGAUGUUGUGCAUGGGGACUGGACUGUUUGUGAGACUGAGGAAGCAAAGGACGGCUAAUUUCCUGGGGUGAGUCACGGCUGUAACCCCCUUUUACUGUAUUAAUAGAACGGAGGGGGGAAUUUUCCAGGAAACAUGUAUUACCACAAAGACCAAAAUAGAAAAGGGUGGCGGGUGACUUAAUCACUAAACAGAGAGGACUGGUCCCCUAUCUUUAUCAGAAUAAGAAAACAAUAAAUCAAACCAACACAUUCUGAAAUGUGUUAACAUCUUCACAGUUCUGUUUUAAUACCAUACAAGAUUUUGUAUUAGCAAAAACUCCAUGAAAACUCUAGGCUGAUUACAGAUGAUCAAACUCUCUGAAGAGUUAAAUAGACCUUCUCGAACUACUCCAAGGUUCAUUCCUUGCUUGGAGCCUAAAAUUAACAAUGUAUACCAGCUGUGUGCCAGAAUCCUGGUCUUCAAGAACCAAAUAGCUGACAAGGAAGUCGCAGCUCUAAUGAAGCCUGAUCUCCACUGCCUGCCGCAGCAGUUCUUUUCAUCUUGCUUCUGGGGGAUUCCAAAAUGACAGCCCAAACACUAGCUCUGAUGGCAGCCUCAGGACCCUAACUAUGGUGAGUCCGAGAAACAUCAACACCUAGAAGCCUCCGCUCUGGCUCCUGCCUUUCCUUGUCUCCUAUCUGGAAGGAAGCACUGUGGCCAUGAUAAAGGUAGGUCAGCAUCAGGAGAAAGGCAGUAACAAAAUGAUUUCUUAAAAUCAAUGUGAGAACUGAGAGAGAAGAGGAUAUGGAGUGGUGUCUAGAACAUAGUUAAUACUCAAAAGUCGUUAUUGUAGGUCUCGUGGCUAUUACUAAAGCAGUGAUAGGAAGAAGGGGAGUCUCGGUUUGUCACAGUUGUAAAGACAUGCAUGUCAGCCAAUCUUUGCCUAUUGGCUCACUUAAGGACCCGUCACACACCACAACGAAACGAUGUGAGACACAAAACCACCAAUGCUGCGGUUUCCCUUUAUUUAUGCAGGGUGGGAUUUGAACUCAAACCUUAUACUUGCUUGGCAAACAGUCUACCACUGGGUUAUAUACUCCCAGCACGACACAGGAUGUUAUAUCAGAAACUGUCAGUAGACCACACCUGAACUCAUGGGUUCCUUGAUUGAGAUCAGUGGGUAUGGCUAAGAGAAAAAAUCUGUGCUACCAUGUUUAGCUCCCCAGACACAUAAAACCUUCUGAUCUAAUUAGUUCCCAGCAUCCUACCGGAGCUGCCCUCCAUUACAGAGCAGUGGUUCAGGGAAGCAGGGAGUAAACCUCUGAAUUCCUCCAACACAUUUUCCCAUAGAGGUACACCAAUGAAGAUCUUGACUAUGGUCACUAUAAGGAAGAUACAUGACAAGUAACAAGACACUGGUGAUUCAAAUUACUAUGUCACUUCAAUAAAUUUAAUAAGCCACUGCUCAAAAUGAUGGGAUAGAUUCUUGUUCUAUCACAGUAAAUGAAAAUGUAAAAUUAUGUCUAUCCUUAGUUGCCUAUUAUGAAAAUUGCAGACCAGCCUGGGGAUGAAGAAUUGAUGCAGCCAUUAAGUGUUCUUACUCCUCUGUGUUGGAGAACAAGUUUGGUGCCCAUCAUCCACAGUGGAAGGCUCACAACUGUCUGUAGCCCCAACUCCAGAAAAAUCUUGACUUUUUCUGGACUCUGAGGUUACAAGCACUCACAGGUGCACACAUUAAAAAGGUUGCUUCAGAGAUUUUCCAACAUUUUUAUCCUCAUCAUGCCUCUGCUCCAGAUGUUUACAGAGGGAAAAUACUCUAAACACACCCAAGACCAAAUCACUAAAGUGUCAGAGGGCAACAGCUACUAUCGCUUCUGUGCUGUGAUCGCACAGGUUUCCAAAAAAUGAGAUUACUUUUCCAGCCAGCCUGUGGACUUGAUCCACUAUACGUAAGUCCUGGUGCUGUGUAACUCUAAUACGAAAAUUACAAGUGGUUGACACAAACUACAAGACAUUAUCCUAUUUUCAUAAAAAGAAAAAAAGAAGAUUCAAAGUACUAAGAGAGAGCUGAACUCACAAACAAGAUAACCUUGAUCAAGUGUUUAAAUAAGCCAAAACUUACCACACAGGCAAUUUUGAAACCUUUCUUGAACCUUACUUUUACUUACUGUAACUUGUUAUAAAUGCAAGUCCUCCCUCCUUUUUUUCACUAUACUUACUUGGGUUCUGAUUUAGGUUCCAAAUUAUUUAUUCAGCCAUAAGCUCCCCCUUUCCUAAUCAUUUCAAAAUAAAGAAUGUGUUUAACUUCGUUAUUUCCUUCCUGACUUCAAAGACUAUAUUAUUUUUGAAGCAUGCUCAAUGGGAUUUUCAAAUAUAUCAUGGAGAAUAAUCAACGACAAUGACACCAUGUAGGGCAGUCUCAUAAGUGAGAGCACCGUACACAGAAAAUGACCACCUGCUUCUUGUCACUUAACUGUUUGUAAACAGGAAUUCCUUGAGAGCUUGCAAAUUCUGCCUACGUUGAGUAACACUGCGUGCAGUUCUGGAACAUCAUACACGAUUUCCAGGACAGAGUAGAGCAAAUCAUUACAUCUUCAGAGGCACGGUAAUGCCUACCAAUGGAACUACCCAAAGGAAAGCAAAAAGAUAUAACAAGUUUGAGAGGCAUAAAGGGGUAAUGAGAAGAGCUUAGGCUGUGUGCUUUUGCAAUCUAUAGUGGCAGAACAAGGACCAAACAUAGACUUAGGUAGCGGCAGCUUCAAGUAGGUAUGGGAAAAUACCUUUAGUUUGCUAUCAAUAGUGGAUGACGCUCUGAAGGAAAUAUGCCCUGCCAUCAGAGCAAGGCACACCAAGGCUGCCACGAGCACGUCCCCAAGUGGGAAGCAUAUAACUAUUCUUAGGUCUAGAAACUUGAAGGAGUGUUCUAUGGGUUUUGCUUUUGCUAGGAAAUAGAGAUUAAAUAUCUGUUAUUAAAACUGUACAUAAACAUUUUAGUGUUUUGUCUCUCUUUUGUCAAGUAUCAGUACAUUGAAGAAUAACUGUAUACAUUUAAACAAAACCACCUUAAUAACCUCCAAUCAAUAUUUAUUCCUACGUAAUAGCUGAAUACUGCUUCUACACCUUGCCUUUGUCAUAGCUAAGGUCACUCCUGCUACGCUGGUACAACAUGAUCAAGAGAAACAAAGGGAGGAAGGGCUUUAUGUGCCUCACACUUCCAUCACUGUUCAUCAGAGCAGAAAGUUGGGCCUAGAACUCAACAGGACAGAAACCCUGAAGCAGGAGCUAAGGGGAGGGCAUGGAGGAAUGCUGCCUAUUGGUUUGCGUGGCCUGCUUUCAUAUAGAACCGAGGACCACAAGCCCAAGGAUAGCAUCACUCACAAUCAAUCAUUAUAUAAGAAAAUGGCCUUCUACAGCUAGAACAAACGGAGGCAUUUUCUCAGUCGAGGUUCCUCCUCUCAGAGGACACGCGCACAUAUCAAGCUGACGUGAAACCAGCCAGCCCAGCCAUGCGCUAUGCUCAGGAUACUCAGUGGUAGGCACUGGGUGUCAGCUUCCUUGGCCACAGCCACGUAGAAGAACUAAUACUAAAGUUGUGUCAUUUCAAACUAUCUGCAUUCUGUGGUGUCCUGUUGCUCUGUUAUUCCUUUUCUCCAGAUCUACAACUGGAGAGUAGAGAGAGGUCACAAGCAACAAUAUCUGAGAAACAACUGCUGAGAUCUGAAGUCUCAGGUUUUGGUUUUCACUGUUUUUUCCAGGGGCAGGUACUUAUAGCUUUAAGUAAUAACCAAAAGCGUGGCAGAAAUUGCAAACCUUCUAGACCAGCCUGCCUAUAUGUAGCUUUGUAUAAAGAAACUACUUAAUCCUUUCCUUGAUGCCCAUCCCAAAGUAUAAUAUAUUAUCAUAUUAGAAAUGACAGAAAGUAGCAAGUCUUGAUAACAGCUUUGAUUUUGCUGUUGAUAUCUGGCUAUGGUGUAAGGAUACAAUACUCCAGGACCUUGCACAUACAUGAUGGUCAAAUAUUCUCCACCUGAGUGGUAGGAGCUCAGCCACAAAUACAUGUUCCAGCUCUCAUACGAAUUCUGCCUACACAGGCAGAGUAGACAUGGACACCCUGCAACACAACACUCUAUAUUAUUAAGAGUUUAUAUCAAGCCACCACAAGCUUGGGCAAUCCUCUCCCAUUGACAAUAGACAAGGAGGCUCAGUUAGAAGAAUGGGAUCCACACUCAGGUAGGCAAUAGAUUCAGGGACAGUUGUUGGUGACCCUAUGUGAAGACCAAGUGGUACAUCUGCUAGAUAUGUGCAGGUGACCUAGAUCCACCCAGUGUGCAAGCUGUUUGGUUGGUGGUUCAAUCCACCCAGCAUAGGUCCAAGUUCAUUGACUCACAUGAUGGGAUACUGGAAAGAGACAAGGGGAUAUUAGGAUGUAAAGUAAAUAAAUAAUUUUUUUAAACAAGAGUUUAUAGACUAUAGUCUGUCAGUAAAAGUGAAAUAUGGAAUCGAUCAUUGUGUAGUGUUUUCUGCGUUAAUGGGGUUAUCAAGGAAAAAUGUCACAGUGGCAAUACUGGUGAUAAUCAAGUAUUUCAAGUUGAAGAUGAAUACCCAGAGCCAGGCAAUGACCAUCCGAAUGGGCAAGGGUGGAGAGAGGCAGGGACAUCUGUUUCGAUGUUACAGACAACAUCCUUUUAUCUGACAUUACACGGAAUAACCGUGUUGAAUAACUGUACACUUUAGGUUGUUGAAAGUUUCUAUCCCUUCCUUUAUUUUUUAGCUAGAAACGGCCCAUUCACUCUUCCCAAACUGGACUUAUGUUGGAUGCGGUGUUAGCAAAUUUCACUUGAACAUUGGGAAUGGAUGGCCUAGUAAAGUCAGAGAGUUCUGGCUUCAAUCCUUCAGUGCAGGGGUACCGAGGAAAAGGAACAAACCUCAGGGGUAUAAGACUCUCAAAGGCCUCACUAAAGGUCUAUGACUUGAGGCAGUACAGUACUGAGACAAGAGAACGGCCUAUUUUUAGUAUGUGAGACUGUUUGUGAGAACCACCAUGCCACUGAGCCUUGAUUUCUGUUCCUACUACACCUCGUUCAGCGAUAACUAAAAGACUUUCCCAUGAUCCUCUAUGACAAAUGGGAGCAGCUCAGGACGUGAAAGGUGAAGUAAACCUCUAACCUUCAGAGACCCAGAGAACGAGAAAGAUGCAUGCGAACAGGAAGGAAAAGGCACUGCCAGGGCCAUGGUGAACACUCGGGUCAGCCCUGAGAAACAGAAAGAUGAGGAAGUCCCCAUUCUCGGCCUCUAUUGCAAACCGCCAGCCUCUCUCACUUCCCUUGCCCACAGAGACAACUUUUGCCAGUCAAGGAAGAAGUAGUUUCAUAAACAAUGAUCAGAAGAAGAGAUGAGGGUGGGGUAGGAGGGCAAAAUGAACAUGGCAACUGACGUUUCACUGAAAGGGCAAUGCCCAGCGCUCAAAGGACACGGGUUUGUCCCUUCGAUGUCCCUAGACUGCUUUAUAAAACAGUAAAGACAGAAACUGUGAGCUAGGCAGAUUUACUAGACUCUUUGACCCAGGACACAAAAGGUUUAAGACGAUCCAGAGAAGUGAACUUGACCUGACCAGUAAACAUUUCAAAUAUGACAGCUGCCUGGAGAGCCACAUAAGAAAGAUGUGCUGAGGAGUAAGGCUGGCUUCCUAUACUUAUUAACUGCCAUGCUGCCGCGGGAACCACUGUGUAACACAGUAGCAUAUGGGGAACAUUAAGCAGUGUGUUUUCCAAAGCCUCUCUGUCCAAGUGGGUGAGGCAAUGGCCUCCUUGAAUCAAAACCUAUUGCUCCUUAAGGCUUGCAUUGCUGCCUUGAUUAAACCCAGCAGCGGGCUCCAGUUGAGGGGACAAUUCUUCUCUUCUGAGGGGAGGUAGAACAGAGUAAUUGCCAGAUGUUUGCAAUUUUAGCUAUAAAAAGAUGGCUGCUUUCCAUUCCUGAGUAUGUUGGAUCUUUUUUUUUUUUCUCUUUCUACCCAAGCUAUUGUGGUUCACUUAAAUAGGCCACUGUGCUGAUGAAUCAUCACUCAAAACUACAAUAAUGGAAGCAGAAAAAUAUGGCAUUUUAAAUUCCCAUGUAAGAGGAAUAAAUUAAAAUGUACAGGUACUGGUUAUGUGCUAAGCAACAGGAAAGCAUGCUAUUGCUUAAGAUGCUCGUUUGAGUCAGAAGAGCUGUGCGUGGGUCUCCCCUUGACUUCUUCUGACCAUCAGUGGGUAGGCACCAAUGCCUUACCAGCAAACCUCGGGCUGUCUACCUGCAAAGUGGAGGUAAGAAUCCCUUCCUGGCCUAAUUCUCAGCAGGAAGUCUCUGUGGAGAUCCAUUCCUAUCCUAUCUUAUAAGCCAGACAGAGUCCACGGGAGAUGUGCAAUUCUUUCUUAAGUAAAAAAAGCAAGAAAAAUAUGGAUGUGUUUCAAAGCCAUAUAUUAUAAGUAUACAUACAUGUAUUCCGGGUGGUUUCUAAUUAUGAAACUCCAUGACUAGCACCAAAUACCAAGUCCUCUUGUCAUAUACUGUGCAUGAAAUAUGGGAGAUGAGGAGAAGGAAAUGGAAACCUGGUUAUUAUUUAAGCAACACUAACAUAACUCAUUUGGAAGUAGUGACUACUUGGGAAGGGCAUGCCAUCUAAGUACUUGAGGAUCUGGGGACACGUGUGGACCAAGUGGAGAUUAGAGACUGAAUCUCCUAGGAAUUGAGAACAUAUCACAGCAGACACAUAUCCCUGCCAUAACUCAUAGAGAAACAAAACCCAAACCAAUUUGAAAGUCCCAGGUAUGCAGCACAGGCAAAAGAGUACUCCAGAAGAUUCGCCUUAAAACUGCCAGGAGGAGGCCUAUUGUGCCAGCUGUGAUUGUAAACAUACAGAAGAGUGUAAUGGACUAAGAGCCCCAGAGGAACACUCAUGUUUUAAUUUUAAUAAAGGCGAAGACGCUCAUAGCACCUUUCACUGACUGCCAUUCCAUACCAGAUGUGGUGCCGACUCAUGCUCCACUUAAGGCUCCUAACUGUCUAAGAUGCUUACAUCUCCACUCCACAGUCACAGCAAAUUGCAUACUCAGCCUAGCAGAGCAAUUCCCAGAGAAAUUAAAGCAAAUCCGGAGCUCUCAACUCUCUGACUGGAGUCCACACAGCAAACUAGACCCUUCCCACAUCUGAUUUCUCUGUCAGUCUUUCGGUCAUCUGUACCCAAGGAAUCUCAUCACUCUGAUUUCUCUGAAUGAAGUAAUUUUCUAAAUUGGGGCUUUAUAACUAAUUUGUUAUAUCCUUAGUAAAAUGGUCAUUUUGAUAAAUCAACUUUCUCAUAAAAAUGUAAAGGAUUUAUCAAGGUUUGGGAAUGGCUUUACUUAUAGUCAUUUAACAUUGUUAAUUAACGAUGGCUUCACAGGUGGGGUGACAUGGGCAUGACUUCUAUCCCAGAACUUGGGACACAGAGGCAAGUAAACAUCUGUAAGCUUAAAAUCAGCCUGGUCUACAUACAGAAUUCCAGGCCAGACAGGAAUAGAUUGUGAGAUCCAGUAUCAAAGAGAAUGGAAUGUUUGUUUUUUUUUUUAAAAAAUGAAAUAGAUCUGAACUAGAGUCGAUGACAGAAUGGUAUUAAUAUGAUUUCCAGAUAUGAGGAAGUCAGAUCUCCUUAACAGAUCCUAUAUUAGGUGACACUUUCAGGAACAAGUCAUACAAACUGCAGAUUUCUUGUACAGGCAGUAAUUUUAAAAGAGGAAGCGCUUCAUAAAACUCAAAUCAUUACCAUAAAAAUUAACAGGUCAAUAUGAAAUAGUGAAAGGUUAAAAUGUCAUGUUGCUUUCAUUCUAGUGUCAUUACAAGCUUCCAGUGUCACCUGAGAAGUUUAAGCAAGACGACACCACUCACUUCAAUUAGAGGACACUGCAAGUGCUAAGUCCCAAGGUUGUCAGUAAUGAUAUCUGCUGGCUAGUAAGUAAAGAUUACUCCGGCAGGUGGACGCCACUACACCUCAUUCACAUCCAUGACCAGAUGUCUGAUGUCAUAUAUACAGACGUCAUGCUGUCAAAUUUCAAGUAAACCUCAGUAAUAAUUGGUGUCAGAAGUAACAUUGAAAAAUGUUGUUUGUUUUAGUAAACUACAGAGCAAGAUCAUUAGUGUAGAAUUUGGUUCAAGAUAAGGACAUCAUCUUAGAAGGAGAGACAAAGAUUCAAAGUUUUACCCGGGGUGACUGUGACCUUUGUGUGUUCAUUCUCUCUGCUGUCUACAAGUGACUGCAUCCUUUCCAGCAGAGGGAUAAAGCUACAACCCAAGUACAAACAGACUUCACAUGCAGGAAGGACUAUACAUCCAAUAAGAAGAGAUUUAUACUCUGUAGACAUUAUUCAAGAGACCAAUGGUCAAAGUCAGCAGAUAGGACUGGGAAAAAGGACUGACAGAAUACUUGCUAGGAUGUAUGAUUAUUAUAUACUGGCUUAUGUAAAUUAAUAAUAUGAGGAAAUACUAAUAAUGGAUUUAGCAGCAUGUGGCUUCUGCAUUAUUAGUGUCCCCAUGGGCCUACUAAGUGUCAGGUUACUCAUUUGUCACUAGAGACAAUGACAAUGUCACUGUAAAGACAAUAAUACGGUUCAAGGGCCCUGGGAAAAUUCAAUCAGGAGAGUGAGUCAAUGACAUAAAACUGCAUCUGUGUAAACAACCUUUAAACCCGAAGCAAAGAUUUAGUAGCAAAAGGCUUCACUUCGUUCCUCAGAAUCAUCACCAUGUGUAUAGAUAACUAACACAGCAAGGAAGAUCAAAACGUUGAAGUUGAUCCUGCCUUGCCUUCUAGAGGGUAUGUGUAAAAAGGCUAAAGGCUCCCUUCAGUCUCAUGAACAUCAGCUGAGAAUGGCUCCCUUUUAGCAUCCCUACACACAGAAACAUUUCAGCAUAAGG
Molecule: small RNA, 13095 nt
Filed under: Rattus norvegicus (Norway rat)
Lineage: Eukaryota; Metazoa; Chordata; Mammalia; Rodentia; Muridae
Description: uncharacterized LOC108352383
Source: RNAcentral